UACAGAGGUGGCAAGCGUUGUUCGGAAUUACUGGGCGUAAAGGGCGCGUAGGCGGUCCCGUCAGUCCCUUGUGAAAUCCCCCGGCUCAACUGGGGAACUGCAAGGGAUACAGCGGGGCUUGAGUUCGGGAGAGGGAAGCGGAAUUCCGGGUGUAGCGGUGAAAUGCGUAGAUAUCCGGAGGAACACCAGUGGCGAAGGCGACUACCUGGCCUGUUCUUGACGCUGAGGCGCGAAAGCUAGGGGAGCAAACGGG
This 253-nucleotide ribosomal RNA is filed under the name uncultured bacterium. RNAcentral's name for it is "partial 16S ribosomal RNA". It matches the Rfam family "Bacterial small subunit ribosomal RNA", at positions 524 to 776 of the family's 1533-position model. The record is from RNAcentral.